AUCCCAGACUCCUACGGGAGGCAGCAGUGGGGAAUAUUGGACAAUGGGGGGAACCCUGAUCCAGCGACGCCGCGUGAGUGAAGAAGUAUUUCGGUAUGUAAAGCUCUAUCAGCAGGGAAGAAAGAAAUGGCGGUACCUGGCUAAGAAGCCCCGGCUAACUACGAGCCAGCAGCCGCGGGAAUACGGAGGGGGCAAGCGUUAUCCGGGUUUAAUGGGUGUAAAGGGUGCGUAGACGGCUAUGCAAGUCUGGAGUGAAAGGCGGGGGCCCAACCCCCGGACUGCUCUGGAAACUGUAGAGCUAGAGUGCAGGAGAGGUAAGUGGAAUUCCUAGUGUAGCGGUGAAAUGCGUAGAUAUUAGGAGGAACACCAGUGGCGAAGGCGGCUUACUGGACUGUAACUGACGUUGAGGCUCGAAAGCGUGGGGAGCAAACAGGAUUAGAUACCCGAGUAC
This 451-nucleotide ribosomal RNA is filed under the name uncultured bacterium. RNAcentral describes it as "bacterial SSU rRNA". It matches the Rfam family "Bacterial small subunit ribosomal RNA", at positions 328 to 793 of the family's 1533-position model. The record is from RNAcentral.